This 403-nucleotide ribosomal RNA is filed under the name uncultured bacterium. Its description in RNAcentral is "partial 16S ribosomal RNA". It matches the Rfam family "Bacterial small subunit ribosomal RNA", at positions 30 to 526 of the family's 1533-position model. The record is from RNAcentral.
AUUGAACGCUGGCGGCAGGCCUAACACAUGCAAGUCGAGCGAGCGGCGGACGGGUGAGUAAUGUAGGGGGACUGCCCGAUAGAGGGGGAUAACUACGGGAAACGGUGGCUAAUCCCGCAUACUAUCGGAUAACCCAUAUGGGAGUAGCUAGUAGGUAAGGUAAUGUCGUACCUAGGCGACGAACCCUAGCUGGGAUGAGCGGAUGAUCAGCCACACUGCGACUGAGACACGGCGCAGACUCCGACGGAGGAAGCAGUAGGGAAUAUUUCACAAUGGGCGCAAGCCUGAUGCAGCCAUGCCGCGUGUAUGAAGAAGGCCCUAGGGUUCGAAAGUACUUUCAGUCGGGAAGCGUUACCGACAGAAGAAGCCCCGGCUAACUCCGUGCCAGCAGCCGCGGUAAUUC